UCUCAAAAUAAAUAAAUGAAUAGACUCAAAUAAAAAAAAAAAAGAAAGGGAUAUGAAUCUCCAAGACACAAGUAUUUUGUUGUAAAUUAUUUACUCAUUCUAAAUGAAUAUUCACUUCCAGAUCUAAUUUUUAAAUUUUUAUUAUUUUUCUAAAAGAAGGGCCCCCAAAUUUUAUAAGCUUCAAGCCCACAAAACCUGGAUCUGCCUUUGGGAAGACUCAUACCCAAGCCUCAUCUCCAGAGACUGUGAUUUCAUUGAUCUGGGGCAGUAGAUCUCAGCUGAGAAUCUAGCACCAAGUCUGGCUCGAAAAUGUUUGCAUGAAAGAAUGAACGGACGAAAUGAUGACUCUCACUCCCUGGGAUGGUGAAAGCCCACAGAUCCAUGAUGCCCUCCUCAUGGCUCAUCUCACUGUUAACUUCUCGUUUCCUCUGGGGCCCCCAAAACGGUAUGUAAGGAUGGCUUUCCUUUUAAAUGCUCAGUACUGUUGACUGCUCAUGGGGCACAGCCUAGCCUACCAGGUAGCUAGUGAGCCACUUCUUUUUUUUUGUUGGUUUCAGCUUUAUUGAGAUAUGGUUGAAAUAUAACAUUGGAAGUUUAGGGUGCACAGUGAGAUGAUUUGAUACAUGUAAAUACUGUGACGUGAUUACCACGAGAUUAGUUAACUCAUCUAUCACCGGA
Molecule: long non-coding RNA, 678 nt
Organism: Herpailurus yagouaroundi (jaguarundi)
Lineage: Eukaryota; Metazoa; Chordata; Mammalia; Carnivora; Felidae
Exons: 3
Source: RefSeq, a predicted model, not a curated record